AAUAAGGCGGUGCUUGAUAAUGAGAUAGAGGAGGAGAGAAGACUUAUGUAUGUUGCCAUGACAAGGGCAAAAGAAAAGCUGUAUCUUGUAUAUCCCAUAAA
This is a non-coding RNA of Eubacterium sp. CAG:252, 101 nucleotides long. The record is from Rfam. Lineage: Bacteria; Bacillati; Bacillota; Clostridia; Eubacteriales; Eubacteriaceae.